Molecule: small RNA, 814 nt
Filed under: Arabidopsis thaliana (thale cress)
Lineage: Eukaryota; Viridiplantae; Streptophyta; Magnoliopsida; Brassicales; Brassicaceae
Description: ATSL212420
Source: RNAcentral
AAUAAAAUAAAAUACUAACAUUCAUAAUUUUUUGUGUUUUGUUUUGGAUCAAAAUACGUUGAUGUGUUGAUUCAUAUUUAUUUUGGAGUUUUUUUUGACAAAAAAUCUUAGAUUCAUACAUAAACCCAGAUACAUAGUUGUACAUGAGCGUACCAGUUGUACCUAAACGCUUAGAUCUAUUAUCUUAGAAACCGAAAGACAGCCGAACAAUUGUAUCUAAACCAAAAACCCAACAUAAUUAUAUCUAAAAAUUUAGCCACAAUUAUACCUAAAACCAAAAACACAAUACUAUCUAAAGACUCAAACACGAAGUCUUAUUGUUCUCGUUGUCAUUCUCCUUCUCAAUUUCUUUCUCCUUAGCUUUCUCCUUCUUCCCUUUUCUUCUAGUUUUUAUCAUUCAAAAGCAAUCUCAUAAUAUUUUGUUUUAAUGCAUUUCACAAACUAUCUCUAAGGAACAAAAUUCAAAUUCAUUCGAAUCCCAAUUGUAAUCCUAAAAACUAAGUCAUAACAGCUAUUACAAGAGGCUUUUAAGGGACAAUUUCGAUUUUAAAUCGAUAAUUAACUCAAAUUUGAAUCUAUAUAUACAUUUUUGCAGCAAUUUUGUGAAAUAAAUGUUAUAGUUGGAACUUAUUUACAAUGGCUGCCACUGGAUUUUAAUGUUUGUUUUUGAUAAUUAGAAAAAAAAUCUUCAAAUUAAAUAUUUGACUUUUAACAAUCUUCCCUAAAUCUCUCCACAUUAACUACACGAUUAGUUACUGAAAUAAAACUUCCAAAAUAUUUAAUAUCAUUUAUUUACUACAAAAUUAUCAUUUUU